GGUUGAAUAUUAUAUAUUGGCAUAAGUAGGGAGAAAAAAAAAAGAAAGAAAAAAAAGAAAAGUGAAGCCCUCUCCCGAAGGAACCCCUCGCUGCCGUUGCUCACCCUCAAGCCAGAGUCGGCGUCCCCUGGAAGCUAGCCAACCGCACUCCGUCGGUCGAUUUCUUCUAGACGCGUUGCUGCCGAGCAUUGCCAUCAAUGUCCUCGGCCUCGCCGCGCGUUCCUUGCUCGGAUCUGAGUGACUCAGCCCGACGUGCCACCAUCAGCCAUCUCGUCUGGGUCUUCACCGAACGCUGCUACCGUCCCGCAUCGCCAACUUGAGGCUACCAGCGGUCAUUUCUAUUCGCGAGCUGCCAGAUCGAACGAAACCCUGCUAUGCGCUGCUCCUAGUUUGGUCAGUCGUCGGUGUCACACCGCCCUCCGUCCACCGUUCUAGGAUUUUUUUUUUUUUUUUUAGGUGAAGUUUUGUGGUUAUUGGAUUAAUUGUUAGGAUGUCUCUAAUGCCCAUUAAUUCUCAGUUUCAAAGUAACCUUAACCUUGACGUUUUGGCUUCUAGGUCGAGGAUUUUAAGUACUUAAGCAAGCUGUCCAACACCUUAAGCGUGAAUUUGGGUAAGUUUUUUUUGGGGAUUAUGGAAUAGGUUGUGAAUGCUUUGGAAUUGUGCUUAAAAGUUUUAAAAAUUUAAGUAUUGGGUCGAAAUUGAAGGUUGUGUUUCUGGGUUAGGAACUUUAAUUCAAGUUGUCGUUGGUGAUUGAUUUCUUGAAUUAUUUAUGUGGGCUUUUGUGACCAAUUUGAGGUAGGUGGUACUAUUACCGGUGCCUUCGUGCUAGGCGACCUAGAUUAGAUUUACAAAGUUAAUUAAUGGACUUUAGAAGCAUGAUUUUGUCUUUGUGAUAUACUUGUUGCACGACAGUUUUAAGUAUUAUGAGCAUGUUUGAACUUCCAUGUUAUGCUAUGAUCUGUGCGGCAGAAACAGUAUUGAAAUGAUGUAUGUGAUGCAUGAUUAGACCAAUAGGUCAGUUUACCGUCUCGCCUUGAUGUAUGUUUUAUUUUAGAGGACCGACAGGUCUAAUUUCAUGUUUAACGGUGUGCCUUCAGGCCGCUAGACAUGUAUGAAUCGACAGGUUCACGUUCAUGUUACUUUUCCAUGUUUGAUGAUGUGCUUUCGAGCCGCUAGACGUGUGUGAAUCGAUAGGUUCACGUUCAUGUUACUUUUCCAUGUUUGACGGUGUGCCUUUGGGCUGCUAGACAUGCAUGAAUCGACAGGUUCGCGUUCAUGUUUCUUUUUCCAUGUUUGACGGUGUGUCUUCGGGUCGCUAGACAUGUGCGAAUCGACAGGUUUACAUUCAUGUUCCUUUUUCCAUGUUUAACAGUAUGCCAUCAGGCCACUAGACAUGCAAGUCAAGGUAAGGGCAAGGAGACUCGGGCGACUGACAAGAGGAAUCUGUGACAGUGCCAAAGGAACUAGAAACGCUUCCGCAUUUGAAUCUUUAUGUCUUUUUGCAUGUUUUUUUUUCUAUUAUUAUUAUUUUUAUUUAUUUAUUUAUUUUGUGUUAAGGGGUACCCCAGGUCAAACGAUUUGAAAUCUUGAGUUAAAGUCAAAAUAGUUUCUUUGUACA
Molecule: long non-coding RNA, 1618 nt
Organism: Benincasa hispida (wax gourd)
Lineage: Eukaryota; Viridiplantae; Streptophyta; Magnoliopsida; Cucurbitales; Cucurbitaceae
Source: RefSeq, a predicted model, not a curated record